GAUGAACGCUGGCGGCGUGCCUAAUACAUGCAAGUCGAGCGAACGGACGAGAAGCUUGCUUCUCUGAUGUUAGCGGCGGACGGGUGAGUAACACGUGGAUAACCUACCUAUAAGACUGGGAUAACUUCGGGAAACCGGAGCUAAUACCGGAUAAUAUUUUGAACCGCAUGGUUCAAAAGUGAAAGACGGUCUUGCUGUCACUUAUAGAUGGAUCCGCGCUGCAUUAGCUAGUUGGUAAGGUAACGGCUUACCAAGGCAACGAUGCAUAGCCGACCUGAGAGGGUGAUCGGGCACACGGGAACUGAGACACGGUCCAGACUCCUACGGGAGGCAGCAGUAGGGAAUCUUCCGCAAUGGGCGAAAGCCUGACGGAGCAACGCCGCGUGAGUGAUGAAGGUCUUCGGAUCGGAAAACUCUGUUAUUAGGGAAGAACAUAUGUGUAAGUAACUGUGCACAUCUUGACGGUACCUAAUCAGAAAGCCACGGCUAACUACGUG
Molecule: ribosomal RNA, 497 nt
Filed under: uncultured bacterium
Lineage: Bacteria
Description: partial 16S ribosomal RNA
Rfam family: Bacterial small subunit ribosomal RNA
Source: RNAcentral